Molecule: ribosomal RNA, 234 nt
Filed under: uncultured Actinomycetales bacterium
Lineage: Bacteria; Bacillati; Actinomycetota; Actinomycetes; Actinomycetales
Description: partial 16S ribosomal RNA
Rfam family: Bacterial small subunit ribosomal RNA
Source: RNAcentral
UGGCGAACGGGUGAGUAACACGUGGGUGAUCUGCCCUGCACUUCGGGAUAAGCUUGGGAAACUGGGUCUAAUACCGGAUAGGACCAUCGUUUAGUGUCGGUGGUGGAAAGUUUUUCGGUGUGGGAUGAGCUCGCGGCCUAUCAGCUUGUUGGUGGGGUAAUGGCCUACCAAGGCGUCGACGGGUAGCCGGCCUGAGAGGGUGUAUGGCCACAUUGGGACUGAGAUACGGCCCAG